UCAGGAUGGUAUCGCAGCUGAACUCAUCAAGAUGGGCCCAAAAAAGUUGGCCACCUGUCUGCAUCGGCUGAUAGUCAGGAUCUGGGAAACCGAACAGCUACCGGAGGAGUGGAAGGAAGGGGUAAUCUGCCCCAUUCCCAAGAAAGGCGACCAUUUGGAAUGUGAGAACUUCAGGGCGAUCACUAUUUUGAAUGCUGCCUACAAAGUGCUAUCCCAGAUCAUCUUCCGUCGUCUGUCACCUAAAACAAAUGAGUUCGUGGGAAGUUAUCAAGCCGGCUUCAUCGACGGCCGGUCGACAACGGACCAGAUCUUUACCGUACGGCAAAUCCACCAGAAAUGCCGUGAAUACAAGGUCCCAACGCACCACCUGUUCAUCGACUUCAAAGCGGCAUACGACAGUAUCGACCGCGAAGAGCUAUGGAGAAUCAUGGACGAAAACGGCUUUCCUGGGAAGCUGACUAGACUGAUUAAAGCAACGAUGGACGGUGUGCAAAACUGCGUAAGCGUUUCGGGUGAACUAUCCAGUUCAUUCGUAUCUCGCCGGGGACUGCGACAAGGUGACGGACUCUCAUGUCUACUCUUCAACAUCGCGCUGGAAGGUGUGAUGCGACGAGCCGGGGUACGAUUUUCACAAAAUCCGGUCAAUUUGUGUGCUUUGCGGACGACAUGGACAUUAUCGCUAGAACAUUUGGAACGGUGACAGAACUGUACACCCACCUGAAACGCGAAGCAGCAAAGGUCGGACUGGUGGUGAAUGCCUCAAAAACAAAGUACAUGCUGCUAGGCGGAACCGAACACGACCGGAUCCGUAUGGGUAGUAAUCGUACGAUAGACGGGGAUACCUUCGAGGUGUUGGAGGAAUUUGUCUACCUCGGAUCCUUACUGACGGCUGACAACAACGUGAGCCGUGAAAUUCGGAGGCGCAUCAUGAGCGGAAGUCGGGCCUACUACGGGCUCCAGAAGAAACUGCGGUCGAAAAAGAUUCACCCACGCACCAAAUGCGCCAUGUACAAAACGCUAAUAAGACAAACUCUAAUAAUUUUGUGGGCUUCGUGGCCGAGCGGUUAGCGGCGGCAGUCGUGUAGGUGUCUCGUAAGCCUCGGAGUGCGGGUUCGAUUCCCGCUCCAGUCGGGGAAAACUUUUCGUCAACGGAAAAUUCUCCUCUGGGCCACUGGGUGUUAUAUGUGUUGUCCGUUGUCGUAUGUUUGUAAUGUUCAGUCUGUAGAGGGCGCAAGGUCGAAGACGGUGUAAUUGUCUCUUUAGACCUGUAGUCCUCUACGGGCACGAGACAUGGGCCACGCUCGAGGAGGACCUGCAAGCACUCGGAGUUUUCGAGCGACGCGUGCUAAUGACGAUCUUUGGCGGUGUGCAGGAGAACGGUAUGUGGAGGAGAAGGAUGAACCACGAGCUCGCUGCACUUUACGGCGAACCCAGCAUCCAGAAGGUGGCCAAAGCCGGAAGGAUACGGUGGGCAGGGCAUGUUGCAAGAAUGCCGGACAACAACCCGGCAAAGCUGGUGUUUGCAACUGAUCCGGUUGGCACAAGAAGGCGUGGAGCGCAGAGAGCACGAUGGGCGGACCAGGUGGAGCGUGGCGAGCAUUGGGAGCGACCGAGGAUGGAGAGCGGCAGCCACAAACCGAGUAUUGUGGCGUACUAUUGUUGAUUAUGUCUUGUCUUAAUGAUGUUGAACAAAUAAAUGUAUGUAUGUAUGGACAUCUUUGAUGCCGGCCCUUUGCACCACACCACUGAAACUCAACUCAACACAGGUUAAUGAUUUAAGAGAAUAAAAAAUAUUCUUAUCAACCUUAUUUCGAAAACUAAAAAAAAAAAAUAUUGCAUACCUAUAUGUAGAUAUCUUAUUUAUUAAAUUGUUAAUCUUUUGUCCAGCACUGUUGAUAGCAGAUGGCCUUCGACAUCCCUAAUAAUAUCCAUCCUUGUGGAGCCAAGCAAGGCAACCAACAUCGGUGUAUGCUCUCGUCUCGACGACGUAGGACCCCGUUAUACACCAGAGCCCUCCAUCUCCUCCUUGCAGCAGCGCUCAGCAGAGAAGCCCUACGUGGCCCUCCUUGCUAUACCUAGUUUAAGUUUCCUUCACGUUUCCUUUUAACUUGCUGGUUGUUGAGAUUCGAAUAGCUGAUGUUUGGCUCCCAGCCAGUCAGUCAGUUAGUCGGUCGGUCGGUUGCUUGGUCGGCUGGUUAGUCUGGGCCGGUUUAAAGCACACCCGAGCAAAAGAGAGAAUACGGCGUGGCGGCGUGACUGGCUGGUUGGCUGGUGGGAGCCCUCGGUCGGUUGGCCUCGCGCACGAGGAGCGCAUUUAGUCUUGCCAGUGUUGUUGAACUCAGAUGACGCUUAGAUAGCCUCCACAUCGCACACUAUCGGUGACGACGCAACGUUACGUAGUCGUGGUGAGUCGCGCGGGAGUUUCGGACGGACCUUCUCGAUCUCGACGCCGCGAUCGUUUGAGUUCUUUGUUGUGUGCUGGUUUAUGCUCGCGCGCGCCUUCGCUCGCUCCCAAAGUUUUUGGCAGUUGAAACCUGUUCCAGUGAUGGUGCCCCUAUAGGGGAGGGCUGGUGAAUAAGAGUGUGUGUGCUGCGGGAGUUUGCGCCGUUUUUUUGUUAUUCUGUUUAUCUACUGACGAGAAAAUGAGAGUGAAAAUUGCUGCCACCCACCGUCGCCACCAAGGCCACAAUAAAGUGUGAAGCUGAUAUAGUGAAUUGUUUUCUUUCUUGUGCGUACCAUAUCAAAUGCUCACGUGUUGCCGGAAUCUGUUGAUCCAUUGGUGAUGCUGCUAUUCUGUGUGGUGAACGUGUGAAUGAAAAAUGAUCUAAAUCUAUCUUGAAUCGACGACGACUUCCGAACAACAAUAACAACGACGACAUCGCGCCAUAUCCCGACUUUCCCCCGAAAAUAAUGGUUCGAUUUGGGAAGAAAGAAAGCGCCGAGAGGCGCCAGCUGUUGGCCAGUAUGAGCUCGAUGCACUACAACAGCUCCAAGCAGAUCGAUAAUGCCGCCUUCCAACAUGUUCGGGAUAAUGUGGAAGACCUCAGUGAAAAGUCGGAAGCCAACGAGACGGAUUUGGUGUUCCUGCAAGGCAUACUGCAGAACCCCGCCGUUACGCAAAUGAUCAAGGUGAGUCAUUUGAAGUUAUUAUUAUCGUUACACUUCACCACUGGUGUUGACAUUCAUGUCCAAUUCAUUGGGUUUGAAGUUUUAUGAACUAUUUAUAAACCACGUCGUUUCACAGUUUGAGUUUCACGGAGCAUGUCGUCAGUCGAUACAUAAACAUAGAAGAUGACUCGCUACAGACGAGUGACGAGAGUGAUGAUGACGAUGCACACAUGAGUUAAUUCAAUGCGACUGGUGAUGUUUGAUGUGUGUCAAAAUGUGUUAAUUGAAUUAUAUAUUAGUGUUGUUGUUUGUUAGGUAAUGUUACGCGUCAAAGAGAAUAUCUAGGAUUUUUGAAACAAACUGCGACUUAGAAAUUUGAAAGUUUGGAAAGGCAAAACAAUCUCUCAGCUUUUUAUUAUCUAGUAAUCGGGUAUACGCUUAUGGUACAUUACACAACACAGUUCCAUUACAAUACUAAAUUACUUUUAAGUAUUUGGUGGAUCCAUAAAUUAUGGGAUUAUUGAUGAACCUAUACACAUUUGAGAAAUUUUUUAUUCGUUUUCUUGAGAUGAUCUUAAUGACAUUUAUGAAAAUAAUUUUGAUUUUUGGAAAGCUUCUGUUGAUAAUAUAAUUAUGAGUGAAGCCAUAAUGGAAUAUUAUGAUGAGAUACAAUAAAAAAACUCUUUAAAAGUGAAUGUAGCAUUGGGCAAAUCUGGCUGAGGCAUCGGUUUUUGUGAUUGGUUUAAUUGGUUCAGCAGAAUCGAUUCACCGAUUUAAUCGAAUGCUUUUAAUCGAUGUUUUCACAUCGAUUCGAUAUUACAAAACUAUAAAAUGAUUCGUUUGCUGCAUGUAGUAAGUUCAUAGUAUGUUUUAUUUGUCUAAAUAAAUUCAAUAUCAAAAUUUGAGAUUGCGCAUCGAACAUUUCGCACCUCUGAUACGAAAACGAAUUUAACAUUGAAACAGUGCGUUUUGAAAAAUAAUAUGAAACUAAUAUUUUUGAAUCCAAAGAAAAAUCCUAAGAUCCUGAGAUUCCCCAGAACUCUGAGAAGUAUUCCCAUAUAGUACCGGGAAAAAUUCCCGCAGACUGCUGAGACAAUUUUUCCCAGAAUCUUUAAAGAGACUCCUUAAGAAUUCUGAAUGGAGUUACUCUAGAAUUAUGAGAGAGGUUUCUUUAGAAUGCUGAAAAUGAUUACACCAGAAUCCUGAGCGACAUUACCUAGAAAAUAAAGCAAGACUCUCUCGGUAUCUUGGUAGGAAUUCCCUCUGAAUUUUAUUAGGAAUUUUCCUAGAAUCCUGAGAGAGAUUACUCCAUAUCUAUGAGACGGAUUGUCUCAGAGUCCGAGAGGAAUUCUCCCAGAAUCCUCUGAUAGAUUGUCCCUUGAGAUUCUCCAAAUAUGUUCCAGAAUCCUAGAAGGGCUUAUCUCAAAAUCCUGAGAGAAAUUCCAAGAGCAAUUCUUCCACAUUUUUUAGAUAACUUCAUCUAGAAUACUGAGAGAUUCUCACAAAUAAAGAUUUUCGGAAUUUUAAGAUGAAUCCCCCAAGAAACUUAAAAGAAAUAAUCAAGAAUCCUGAAAAGGGUAGCUUAGAACCCCAAAAAGAAUUACUCAAGAAUCAUGAGGAAGGUUCCCUCAAAAUACUGGGCGGGAUUGCCAAAGAAACUUUUAAGUAUUCUCCCUCAAUUCCCCUAAAAUCCUGGGUGAAAUUCUUUAGAAUGCUAUGCUGAGGAUAAUUCUGCCAAAAUCCCGAAAGGUAUUCCUACAAUUCUACGAGUGAUUCCCCCAGAAUCAUGAGGUGGAUCAUACAAGGGGUUGUUCCAGAUUCUUGUCAGGGACUGCUCCAGAAUACAGAAAACAGAACUCUACUGAAAUUCUCGUAGAAUGCUGAUGUUGCGACGAGUUUGCGAUGAAACUGGCAACACUGCAACAAUUGCUUUUGCAGGCAGAACGAUAUAAUUGAUAAGGUAGUUGUAAAGUAGAAGAGACUGUGAAAAGAUGGGAGUAUGUUCCUUUGGGCCGCAAGAAUUGUAUACUAGAAUGUAAGUUUUAAUGAAUUGUAUUUAGAUUUUGUAUUUAGGCCGUUACAAAUAUUUAUUUCACUUUUUGUCCCACCACUCUUUGGCUGGUCGAGGGGGGGGGAUAAAAAUAAUAAAGCAUUUAAUCUUAAAAAUAUUAAAAACUCAUCGGAUUUGUUAAAGAAUUUUUAGCAAAACCCGAUAUUUUGAUAAAUAUUGUUUUGUCUGCCCCCUCAAAAUGCAAAAUCCAGCCAAAAAUUUUUGAAGGGGGGGGGGAGACAAAAAGUCAUAAUUAAAUUUGUAUCAGCCUUAUUAUUUAAAAAUAAAUUUCAGCUUUGAAGCUGUGUCUAAGGAACACUGCCGUCAAAAAGUAUCCCUUCAGCCAGAGAAACCGACUCUCAACAGCUGAAAAGCAUUUCUUCCGAACCCUAAGAGGAAUCACAAAAUCUAUGCAGGUGAUUCUCCUAAAUCCAAAUUUCUCUAGAGAAUUCUACCCAGAAUCUCUUGAAAGAUUCUUCUAUAAUUAGGCGGU
Molecule: RNA transcript, 5651 nt
Organism: Aedes albopictus (Asian tiger mosquito)
Lineage: Eukaryota; Metazoa; Arthropoda; Insecta; Diptera; Culicidae
Exons: 3
Source: RefSeq, a predicted model, not a curated record